RNAcentral lists this transfer RNA (64 nucleotides) under Cordylochernes scorpioides. RNAcentral's name for it is "tRNA-Thr". The stretch from base 2 to 58 matches the Rfam family "tRNA", at positions 8 to 63 of the family's 71-position model. From Rfam's summary of the family: Transfer RNA (tRNA) molecules are approximately 80 nucleotides in length. Their secondary structure includes four short double-helical elements and three loops (D, anti-codon, and T loops). Further hydrogen bonds mediate the characteristic L-shaped molecular structure. tRNAs have two regions of fundamental functional importance: the anti-codon, which is responsible for specific mRNA codon recognition, and the 3' end, to which the tRNAs corresponding amino acid is attached (by aminoacyl-tRNA synthetases). tRNAs cope with the degeneracy of the genetic code in two manners: having more than one tRNA (with a specific anti-codon) for a particular amino acid; and 'wobble' base-pairing, i.e. permitting non-standard base-pairing at the 3rd anti-codon position. The record is from RNAcentral. Lineage: Eukaryota; Metazoa; Arthropoda; Arachnida; Pseudoscorpiones; Chernetidae.
GUGGCCUAGUGGUCAUGGCAUCUGCCCGGUAAGCGGAAGGUCGUGGGUUCGAUCCCUUGAAACU